Transfer RNA from Felis catus (domestic cat), 73 nucleotides. It matches the Rfam family "tRNA". Rfam says of the family: Transfer RNA (tRNA) molecules are approximately 80 nucleotides in length. Their secondary structure includes four short double-helical elements and three loops (D, anti-codon, and T loops). Lineage: Eukaryota; Metazoa; Chordata; Mammalia; Carnivora; Felidae. The record is from Rfam.
GUCUGGCUGGCUCAGUUGGUGGAGCAUAUGACUUUUGAUCUUGGGGUUGUAAGUUUGAAUCCCAUGUUGGGUG